UGGAUCACCUCCUAACAGGGAGACAACAAAAUGUUUAAUAUUAUUAUUUUGUCACCUUAGGUCGAUCGGUAUCUCACUUUUUAAUUUAUUAAGAAUUUCUUUUCCUAAGUUUUUCUAGGUCACACCCAUUAUUUUCCUGGGCCAUUAGCUCAGGUGGUUAGAGCGCACCCCUGAUAAGGGUGAGGUCCCUGGUUCAAGUCCAGGAUGGCCCAUAUCUCUAUGUUGGGGGUUUAGCUCAGUUGGUAGAGCGCCUGCUUUGCAAGCAGGAUGUCAGGAGUUCGAGUCUCCUAACCUCCACUGACCGAACUUGAUUCCCAUCUCCAAUUUUUUGGAGUUGAGCUCGAUUGGCGUGUGAUUUAGAUGUGUCCGCUGGAUGACCCCAGCUUCCUGUCAUUCCAAGUUUUAGGUUGAAGCCUUGAAUUUGGUUGAUAAGAUGCUGGGCUCGGAUCAAAUGAUCAAGCAAUUGAUGGUUUGAUUUGAAGUUCUAGCAGAACCUUGACAACUGCAUAGGUGAGUCUGGAAAAAACAAAGCAUCUUACAGAUGCAUUGUUUUGAAUCCGAUCUUCUGAAAGGGAGAUUGGAUCUAGAACAAUGAAAAUUCUUUUGAGCAAGAGCCGAGACUCUUGAGCGUUCUUUGAUUGGUGUCGAGCCAAUCAGAGUUUGAUCUUGUUUUUAGCGAUAAAAACUUGAAAAUCUGCUUUCAACGGCGGUAAGCGUUCAGGAGGUUAAUUGGUCAAGCUACAAAGGGCUCACGGCGGAUACCUUGGCACACAGAGGCGAUGAAGG
Molecule: transfer RNA, 786 nt
Filed under: uncultured Synechococcus sp.
Lineage: Bacteria; Bacillati; Cyanobacteriota; Cyanophyceae; Synechococcales; Synechococcaceae
Description: partial contains 16S ribosomal RNA, 16S-23S ribosomal RNA intergenic spacer, and 23S ribosomal RNA
Rfam family: tRNA (bases 225-297)
Source: RNAcentral